Molecule: ribosomal RNA, 476 nt
Filed under: uncultured organism
Description: partial 16S ribosomal RNA
Rfam family: Bacterial small subunit ribosomal RNA
Source: RNAcentral
ACGUACACUCCUGCGGGAGGCAGCAGUGGGGAAUUUUGGACAAUGGGCGAAAGCCUGAUCCAGCCAUGCCGCGUGCAGGAUGAAGGCCUUCGGGUUGUAAACUGCUUUUGUACGGAACGAAACGGCCUUUUCUAAUAAAGAGGGCUAAUGACGGUACCGUAAGAAUAAGCACCGGCUAACUACGUGCCAGCAGCCGCGGUAAUACGUAGGGUGCAAGCGUUAAUCGGAAUUACUGGGCGUAAAGCGUGCGCAGGCGGUUAUGUAAGACAGUUGUGAAAUCCCCGGGCUCAACCUGGGAACUGCAUCUGUGACUGCAUAGCUAGAGUACGGUAGAGGGGGAUGGAAUUCCGCGUGUAGCAGUGAAAUGCGUAGAUAUGCGGAGGAACACCGAUGGCGAAGGCAAUCCCCUGGACCUGUACUGACGCUCAUGCGCGAAAGCGUGGGGAGCAAACAGGAUUAGAUACCCGUGUAGUCCC